Molecule: long non-coding RNA, 470 nt
Organism: Oncorhynchus kisutch (coho salmon)
Lineage: Eukaryota; Metazoa; Chordata; Actinopteri; Salmoniformes; Salmonidae
Exons: 3
Source: RefSeq, a predicted model, not a curated record
GCGGACAGGAUGGUGUCAGAGUCGUAGAACAAAUUAUCUGGAAAAGAGGGAGAAUCCAAACCAAUUUUAUUUACGAAUCCCUUGGAGGUGAAUACAGUUUGUGCAACAUUGAAGGUGUCCAAGGUGUCUUUGAUGCUGUAGCAGUGUCUUCAGGUGCUCAGGGUCAGAGACAGACUGAACGCACUCCUCCAGGUCAGAGAAUGCAAGGCUGAGACAAGAUGCUGUCUGAGGGAUGAAGAUGCAGUCAUAUCAGUACCUGUGUAAAGCUGGGCACCGGCAGCAGCUCCUCCAAUCUGGAGAAGAACUCCCACACCAGAAUCUGCAGUGCUGUGUCAUACUUAGUACCGUACUGCACUGGGAACACCUCCUUUAAUGAAAAUGUAGAGAGCUAUUACAGUUAGGUGAAUGGUCUUGCCUACAACAUGUUACCGUCAAAAUGCAUAAGUUUAAUAAAAUAUUUAUUUUGUCCA